AACUGGCCCAGUGUGACAUCUAGUUAGGUUAGAUUCUCCAGGGGCCCCACACACAGCUGGGGGUCCACCCAAGAGGCAAAAAAACCAAAAAAAAACCUACCUAACGAUAUCAUGGGUAGAAUGCAGAAGUGUGUACUUCACCUGAUUCUUUCUCUUCUACACCAGUGAGAUUAGUGGCCUCUUCCAAACUUGGAUAACGAUUGCAGUGACGGCGGAGACGGAGGAGCGUGUGUGGAAUGGAGCAGCUGUUCCUGAGUGACUGGUGCCGAGAAGCGUCAAAAGAGUUGCUAAAACAAAAUAAAACUAACUCAUACGUGCAUGAAAUCCUGUGUGUGUGUUGGCUCCUCAUCACACACUUGAACAUAGGACCUGUUGCACCUCACAAUAAAAGAAACG
Molecule: long non-coding RNA, 396 nt
Organism: Oreochromis aureus
Lineage: Eukaryota; Metazoa; Chordata; Actinopteri; Cichliformes; Cichlidae
Source: Ensembl